UACGUAGGGUGCAAGCGUUAAUCGGAAUUACUGGGCGUAAAGCGUGCGCAGGCGGUUUCGUUAAGACCAGAUGUGAAAUCCCCGGGCUCAACCUGGGAACUGCAUUUGUGACUGCAUCGCUGGAGUGCGGCAGAGGGGGAUGGAAUUCCGCGUGUAGCAGUGAAAUGCGUAGAUAUGCGGAGGAACACCGAUGGCGAAGGCAAUCCCCUGGGCCUGCACUGACGCUC
Molecule: ribosomal RNA, 227 nt
Filed under: uncultured bacterium
Lineage: Bacteria
Description: partial 16S ribosomal RNA
Rfam family: Bacterial small subunit ribosomal RNA
Source: RNAcentral